This 585-nucleotide ribosomal RNA is filed under the name uncultured bacterium. RNAcentral's name for it is "partial 16S ribosomal RNA". It matches the Rfam family "Bacterial small subunit ribosomal RNA", at positions 355 to 1375 of the family's 1533-position model. The record is from RNAcentral.
UGGGGAAUUUUGGACAAUGGGCGAAAGCCUGAUCCAGCAAUGCCGCGUGUGUGAAGAAGGCCUUCGGGUUGUAAAGCACUUUUGUCCGGAAAGAAAUCCUUGGCUCUAAUACAGUCGGGGGAUGACGGUACCGGAAGAAUAAGCACCGGCUAACUACGUGCCAGCAGCCACGGUAAUACGUAGGGUGCAAGCGUUAAUCGGAAUUACUGGGCGUAAAGCGUGCGCAGGCGGUUUGCUAAGACCGAUGUGAAAUCCCCGGGCUCAACCUGGGAACUGCAUUGGUGACUGGCAGGCUAGAGUAUGGCAGAGGGGGGUAGAAUUCCACGUGUAGCAGUGAAAUGCGUAGAGAUGUGGAGGAAUACCGAUGGCGAAGGCAGCCCCCUGGGCCAAUACUGACGCUCAUGCACGAAAGCGUGGGGAGCAAACAGGAUUAGAUACCCUGGUAGUCCACGCCCUAAACGAUGUCAACUAGUUGUUGGGGAUUCAUUUCCUUAGUAACGUAGCUAACGCGUGAAGUUGACCGCCUGGGGAGUACGGUCGCAAGAUUAAAACUUAAAGGAAUUGACGGGGUCAUAGCUGUUUCCU